GCUGGGCGUGGUGGCGGGCGCCUGUAGUCCCAGCUACUUGGGAGGCUGAGGCAGGAGAAUUGCUUGAACCCGGGAGGCGGAGCUUGCAGUGAGCCGAAAUCGCGCCACUGCACUCCAGCCUGGGCGACAGAGCAAGACUCUGUCUCAA
Papio anubis (olive baboon) is the source of this 148-nucleotide unclassified non-coding RNA. It matches the Rfam family "Metazoan signal recognition particle RNA". From Rfam's summary of the family: The signal recognition particle (SRP) is a universally conserved ribonucleoprotein. Lineage: Eukaryota; Metazoa; Chordata; Mammalia; Primates; Cercopithecidae. The record is from Ensembl.